UAAUACAGGGGGUGCAAGCGUUAUUCGGAAUUACUGGGCGUAAAGAGCGUGUAGGCGGUUUGCCAAGUCUGGUGUGAAAUCCCCGGGCCCAAUCCGGGAAGUGCAUUGGAUACUGGCAGACUAGAGUGUAGGAGGGAGAAGCGGAAUUCCAGGUGUAGAGGUGAAAUUCGUAGAUAUCUGGAGGAACAACAGGGGCGAAGGCGGCUUCUUGGACUACAACUGACGCUAAGGCGCGAAAGCGUGGGGAGCAAACAGG
This 256-nucleotide ribosomal RNA is filed under the name uncultured bacterium. RNAcentral's name for it is "partial 16S ribosomal RNA". It matches the Rfam family "Bacterial small subunit ribosomal RNA", at positions 521 to 776 of the family's 1533-position model. The record is from RNAcentral.